GAUGAACGCUGGCGGCGUACCUAAUACAUGCAAGUCGAGCGAACAGACGAGGAGCUUGCUCCUCUGACGUUAGCGGCGGACGGGUGAGUAACACGUGGAUAACCUACCUAUAAGACUGGGAUAACUUCGGGAAACCGGAGCUAAUACCGGAUAAUAUAUUGAACCGCACGGUUCAAUAGUGAAAGACGGUUUUGCUGUCACUUAUAGAUGGAUCCGCGCCGCAUUAGCUAGUUGGUAAGGUAACGGCUUACCAAGGCGACGAUGCGUAGCCGACCUGAGAGGGUGAUCGGCCACACUGGAACUGAGACACGGUCCAGACUCCUACGGGAGGCAGCAGUAGGGAAUCUUCCGCAAUGGGCGAAAGCCUGACGGAGCAACGCCGCGUGAGUGAUGAAGGUCUUCGGAUCGUAAAACUCUGUUAUUAGGGAAGAACAAAUGUGUAAGUAACUAUGCACGUCUUGACGGUACCUAAUCAGAAAGCCACGGCUAACUACGUG
Molecule: ribosomal RNA, 497 nt
Filed under: uncultured bacterium
Lineage: Bacteria
Description: partial 16S ribosomal RNA
Rfam family: Bacterial small subunit ribosomal RNA
Source: RNAcentral